GACGAGCUACUCCGAGACAGCCUAAUAGGGCAAACCCGUCUCUGUGGCAAAAGAGUGGGAAGAUCUCCGAGUAGAGGCGACAAACCUAACGAGCCUAGUAAUAGCUGGUUGCUCAGGAAAGGGCACACUUCAGCCUCAAGGCUUCUACUGUCACUCAGGUCACUACCAACAAAGACAUCAAGAAACCCUUAAGAGUUAUUCAACACKCCUCCCCCUCUCUUCCCCYUUUUUUCAAKAWWAACAGGCGGAUAAAGAUCACAUUAAAUCAAAGGGACUUUGAAUGGUGGGCCUAAAAGCAGCCACCUGCACAGAAAGCGUUAAAGCUCAGACAAAACCUCACCCUAUUAUCCCGAUAAAACAAUCACAAUCCCCUAAACCUACAGAGCCACUCUAUACAACUAUAGAAGCAAUAAUGCUAAAAUUAGUAACAAGAAGGCACGACCUUCUCCAAGCACACGUGUAAGUCAGAUCGGACCCACCACUGACAAAUAACGGACCAGCCGGAAGAGGGAAGUACAGAAUAGUAAUAGAAAUCAAGAAAACCCUGUAAAAUACUACCGUUAACCCAACACAGGAGUGCACCAUCAAGGAAAGACUAAAAGAAAAAGAAGGAACUCGGCAAACACGAGCUUCAGUAACCCUGUUUACCAAAAACAUCGCCUCUUGCAAACCAAUGUAUUAGAGGUCCCGCCUGCCCUGUGACCAAAAGUUUAACUUCCGCG
Molecule: ribosomal RNA, 722 nt
Filed under: Acipenser persicus (Persian sturgeon)
Lineage: Eukaryota; Metazoa; Chordata; Actinopteri; Acipenseriformes; Acipenseridae
Description: partial 16S ribosomal RNA
Rfam family: Bacterial large subunit ribosomal RNA
Source: RNAcentral